Molecule: long non-coding RNA, 355 nt
Filed under: Physcomitrium patens
Lineage: Eukaryota; Viridiplantae; Streptophyta; Bryopsida; Funariales; Funariaceae
Description: long non-coding RNA (PPAT_LNC005188)
Source: RNAcentral
CAAUGGUUCAUUCAUUAGUUAUUGAAGUUUAAAUCUACUGUAAGAAUUACCAAGGUUUAUUUAAAGAUUUAGUUAGGAUAUGUUUAGGAUUCGAUUAGGAUUUGAUUAGGAUCUGAUUAGGAUUUCACUAAGAUUUGUUAUGAAUUUUUCUAGGAUUUGGUCAGAAACUAUUUUAGAUUUUAUUAGAAUUUGGUUAGAAUUUGUUUAGGAUUUGAUUAGGAUUUGAUUAGGAUUUAUUUAAAAUUUGACAAGGAUUUAGUUAGGAUUGUUUUGGAUUUGAUUAGGAUUUGAUUAGAAUUUAUUUAAGGUUUGACUAUGAUAUAUUUAGGAUUUAUUUAGAAUUUGUGUGAGUGGA